This 300-nucleotide unclassified non-coding RNA is filed under the name Hevea brasiliensis (rubber tree). The record is from RNAcentral. Lineage: Eukaryota; Viridiplantae; Streptophyta; Magnoliopsida; Malpighiales; Euphorbiaceae.
AAAUCAUUAGAUCGGACAGCCGUGCUUCCUCUGGAAACGGGGUGAUGGACAUCAUGUGUGGGUCCUACAUCAAUCUAAUAUCUAUUAGGAGCAUAUUCUAGUUCUAAGCAAUAAUCUCUCUACCAAUUUGUAGAUAGAUUAAUCUUAGCUAUAUUCAGGUUAUAUUGUAAUGCUUUAUGUUUACUCGUCCUUUUGAAGCCUUAUCCAUGGGCAUAGCAUGAAUCUUAAACGGCCAACCGAUGGUAAUGCAGCAUCCUUAUUAUGCUGAAUUUAUUUUUUUUAUCUAUAUUUUUAUCAGCU